Molecule: ribosomal RNA, 497 nt
Filed under: uncultured bacterium
Lineage: Bacteria
Description: partial 16S ribosomal RNA
Rfam family: Bacterial small subunit ribosomal RNA
Source: RNAcentral
GAUGAACGCUGGCGGCGUGCCUAAUACAUGCAAGUCGAGCGAACAGACGAGGAGCUUGCUCCUCUGACGUUAGCGGCGGACGGGUGAGUAACACGUGGAUAACCUACCUAUAAGACUGGGAUAACUUCGGGAAACCGUAGCUAGUACCGGAUAAUAUAUUGAACCGCAUGGUUCAAUAGUGAAAGACGGUUUUGCUGUCACUUAUAGAUGGAUCCGCGCUGCAUUAGCUAGUUGGUAAGGUAACGGCUUACCAAGGCAACGAUGCAUAGCCGACCUGAGAGGGUGAUCGGCCACACUGGAACUGAGACACGGUCCAGACUCCUACGGGAGGCAGCAGUAGGGAAUCUUCCGCAAUGGGCGAAAGCCUGACGGAGCAACGCCGCGUGAGUGAUGAAGGUCUUCGGAUCGUAAAACUCUGUUAUUAGGGAAGAACAUAUGUGUAAGUAACUGUGCACAUCUUGACGGUACCUAAUCAGAAAGCCACGGCUAACUACGUG